CGGUGACGGUGGAAGUAGCUCGUUCCCCGGGACGUUGUUCCUUACGGAACUCCCCGGUGGAGAGGCUGCCAGGGGUCUUACCCCCCUCACCCCCUUGAGACAGGGGUUGUAGGGUGGUUUGAACUCCAGGGUGGGGUUGGAGGGGUGAGGCAGCUUUUGCUGUUCUUAUCCAUUCUAACCUCUCUUCUGUGCCUGGGGUCCUACUCCCCUCUCCUCCUUAGAACCUCGUGGAUGUUCUAAGGGAUCUCCUGGUGACGAGAGAUCCUCCCGUGGUCCAGAGGAGGAUGUUCUACCAUCAUUGAGAGGAAGUAAUCUAUGCUAUAUCAGGCGCUAAAGAAAAAUCUCAAUCUCCGCCGUUUAAAUGCAAGCAUGGUUGGCGAUUCAAUAGAAAAUGAGAGUCGCUUCAAUAUUUUUAAACAAAAAUAUUAAUUGUUGCAAGUUCCUGGCGCAAUAAUUUUGACGGUGACUACGAAGAAGUAUUCGGUGACAAUUACUGGAGAACAAAUGAAAAAACUUGUCCUUUGUUGUCGAAUGAAGUCACUUUCAAGAUGUGUUAAAUCAUAAUUAUUAAAAUGAUAAUUAUUAUUCUUGAGUCAACGGAAUCCAAUCAAGUGCAUAUAUUUCUUGAAAAAAAUCUCAUUAUGGAAGUGUGAUUGGAUGGAAAUUGAAGCGAGAAUGACUUUCAAUUAAUCGAAUGGCGUUUAAAAAUUGAAGACUAGAAAAAUACGCCAGAUAGUUCCAGAAAUUAAGUGCCUGAAGCAUCUACAGGGUCUUCGUCUGGAAGAAAAAAUCUCUAGGGAAGACAACGAGCUCCUUGACGAGGGAAUCAGCG
Molecule: long non-coding RNA, 832 nt
Organism: Leptopilina heterotoma
Lineage: Eukaryota; Metazoa; Arthropoda; Insecta; Hymenoptera; Figitidae
Exons: 4
Source: RefSeq, a predicted model, not a curated record